Molecule: ribosomal RNA, 253 nt
Filed under: uncultured bacterium
Lineage: Bacteria
Description: partial 16S ribosomal RNA
Rfam family: Bacterial small subunit ribosomal RNA
Source: RNAcentral
UACAGAGGGGGCAAGCGUUGUUCGGAAUUACUGGGCGUAAAGCGCACGUAGGCGGCUUUGUAAGUUAGAGGUGAAAGCCCGGGGCUCAACCCCGGAAUUGCCUUCAAGACUGCAUCGCUAGAAUUGUGGAGAGGUAAGUGGAAUUCCGAGUGUAGAGGUGAAAUUCGUAGAUAUUCGGAAGAACACCAGUGGCGAAGGCGACUUACUGGACACAUAUUGACGCUGAGGUGCGAAAGCGUGGGGAGCAAACAGG